Molecule: long non-coding RNA, 274 nt
Organism: Teleopsis dalmanni
Lineage: Eukaryota; Metazoa; Arthropoda; Insecta; Diptera; Diopsidae
Exons: 3
Source: RefSeq, a predicted model, not a curated record
AAAAGUUCUGACUGCAAUAAAUAGUUGACAGCGUCGGCCAUAUUAUUUUCUAUAGAAGUGCAAGGUAAAAAAUUUGUAUUAAUUGAAUGAAUCUGCUUAAGUAUAAGUUGAGAAGACAUGCUAUUGUGAAACUAAUUUGAAUAUUUUAAAAUACACUGAAAAAUAGCGCUUAACAACAAUGGAAAACCCAAAAAAAGAGACUGCAUCCGAAGGUACUGGUGAUAAAGAGGAUAAUAAGCGGAAAGUAAGAAAAAGAAAAAUAAAACGCGCUAAA